GAUGAACGCUGGCGGCGUGCCUAAUACAUGCAAGUCGAGCGAACGGACGAGAAGCUUGCUUCUCUGAUGUUAGCGGCGGACGGGUGAGUAACACGUGGAUAACCUACCUAUAAGACUGGGAUAACUUCGGGAAACCGGAGCUAAUACCGGAUAAUAUUUUGAACCGCAUGGUUCAAAAGUGAAAGACGAUCUUGCUGUCACUUAUAGAUGGAUCCGCGCUGCAUUAGCUAGUUGGUAAGGUAACGGCUUACCAAGGCAACGAUGCAUAGCCGACCUGAGAGGGGGAGCGGAGAAAAAGGAAAUGAGACCCGGUCCAGAACCGAACGGGGGGCAGAAGGAGGGAAGGUGAGGAAAGGGGGGAAAUCAUAAAACACCAACGCGGGGGAGGUAAAGAAGUGUUUGGAACAGUAAAACGCUUUUAGGAGAAAAAAAAGAAUGUGUAAGAAAAGGUGCACACUUGGACGGUACAAAAGCAGAAAGCCCCGACUAACUAGGU
Molecule: ribosomal RNA, 496 nt
Filed under: uncultured bacterium
Lineage: Bacteria
Description: partial 16S ribosomal RNA
Rfam family: Bacterial small subunit ribosomal RNA
Source: RNAcentral